Molecule: ribosomal RNA, 360 nt
Filed under: uncultured bacterium
Lineage: Bacteria
Description: bacterial SSU rRNA
Rfam family: Bacterial small subunit ribosomal RNA
Source: RNAcentral
AACGAACGCUGGCGGCAGGCCUAACACAUGCAAGUCGAACGCUCCGCAAGGGGAGUGGCGCACGGGUGAGUAACACGUGGGAACCUACCUUCUGGUACGGAACAACCAAGGGAAACUUUGGCUAAGGCCGUAUACGACCUCCGGGUGAAAGAUUGAUCGCCGGAAGAGGGGCCCGCGUCCGAUUAGGUAGUUGGUGAGGUAACGGCUCACCAAGCCUUCGAUCGGUAGCUGGUCUGAGAGGAUGACCAGCCACACUGGGACUGAGACACGGCCCAGACUCCUACGGGAGGCAGCAGUGGGGAAUAUUGGACAAUGGGCGCAAGCCUGAUCCAGCCAUGCCGCGUGAGUGAUGAAGGCCUU